UAGAGAGUGGUGUAGUGGAAGCACUGGGAGUUUUGAUCUCCCCGGGUUGGGUUCAAAUCCCUUCUUUCUAA
Molecule: transfer RNA, 71 nt
Filed under: Tetractenos glaber (smooth toadfish)
Lineage: Eukaryota; Metazoa; Chordata; Actinopteri; Tetraodontiformes; Tetraodontidae
Description: tRNA-Gln
Rfam family: tRNA
About the family: Transfer RNA (tRNA) molecules are approximately 80 nucleotides in length. Their secondary structure includes four short double-helical elements and three loops (D, anti-codon, and T loops).
Source: RNAcentral